Molecule: small RNA, 83 nt
Filed under: Marmota monax (woodchuck)
Lineage: Eukaryota; Metazoa; Chordata; Mammalia; Rodentia; Sciuridae
Source: RNAcentral
GCUGGGUGUGGUGGCACAUACCUGUAAUCCCAGACACUUGGGAGGCUGAAGCAGGAGGAUCUCAAGGUUGAGGCCAGCUUCAG